CUGCAUUUCUGUUCCCUGCAUUUUCAGAAGCAGGUGGGUAGAUUGGAAAGUAUUCAGAGCAUACUGCUGGGACCCCAUCACCCUUCCAUCAUAUGGGACUUAAUGAUCGGGAGAAAGAAAUGUUUCAGACAUCAGGAACAUUUCUCUGUUCCUCAGUUUUCUCAUACUGCCUGCACGCUCCCUUCCAAUUGAACCGGACCUCCACACCACAUGGAAGCUCAUCACUUGUGAAUGCCUCACAGCAUUUGAAUUUUCACAGCCAUUACAAGCAUAGAGUAUAAGCCUUUGCAUGAAGGACUGGGAUGCUUAGAUGAAUUGCUCAUCAGCUUGUGUUAGCUACUUGCAAGUUUGCAGAAAGUAGUUCCAAGUUUUAGAAACUUCUAAUUUAAGGAAAAGUCUACAAAAGAAGGAAAAAGAAAGCAAGGCUUAAGGAAGAGAAAGUGUUAAUACUUUGCAAAGACAAUGAACUUGAGAUUGGUGUAUACA
This is a long non-coding RNA of Alligator sinensis (Chinese alligator), 486 nucleotides long. RefSeq lists it as uncharacterized. The record is from RefSeq and is a predicted model, not a curated record. Lineage: Eukaryota; Metazoa; Chordata; Crocodylia; Alligatoridae. The transcript has 4 exons.